Molecule: ribosomal RNA, 504 nt
Filed under: uncultured bacterium
Lineage: Bacteria
Description: bacterial SSU rRNA
Rfam family: Bacterial small subunit ribosomal RNA
Source: RNAcentral
CUGGCUCAGGAUGAACGCUGGCGGCGUGCCUAACACAUGCAAGUCGAACGGUGGUGAUUGAUAUUUCGGAUGGAUAUCACCAUAGUGGCGGACGGGUGAGUAACGCGUGGACAACCUGCCUCGUACUGGGGGAAUAGCAGCUGGAAACGGCUGGUAAUACCGCAUAAGCGCACGGCGCCGCAUGGCGCUGUGUGAAAAGAUUUAUCGGUACGAGAUGGAUCCGCGUCUGAUUAGCCAGUUGGCGGGUAACGGCCCACCAAAGCGACGAUCAGUAGCCGGCCUGAGAGGGUGAACGGCCACAUUGGGACUGAGACACGGCCCAGACUCCUACGGGAGGCAGCAGUGGGGAAUAUUGCACAAUGGGCGAAAGCCUGAUGCAGCGACGCCCGCGUGAGUGAAGAAGUAUUUCGGUAUGUAAAGCUCUAUCAGCAGGGAAGAAAGGCCCGAAAGGGAGAUGACGGUACCUGACUAAGAAGCCCCGGCUAACUACGUGCCAGCCGCCGC